AAGUCGUAACAAGGUCUCCGUUGGUGAACCAGCGGAGGGAUCAUUAUCGAGUGUUACAACUCCCAAACCCUUUGUGAACCAUACCAAAUCGUUGCUUCGGCGGGACGCCCCGGGUGCCAUCGCGGCCCGGAACCAGGCGCCCGCCGGGGGUACCAAACUCUUGUUUUUCCACAGCGAGUAUUCUCUGAGUGGCACAAGCAAAAAAUGAAUCAAAACUUUCAACAACGGAUCUCUUGGUUCUGGCAUCGAUGAAGAACGCAGCGAAAUGCGAUAAGUAAUGUGAAUUGCAGAAUUCAGUGAAUCAUCGAGUUUUUGAACGCACACUGCGCCCCUUGGUAUUCCGGGGGGCAUGCCCGUUCGAGCGUCAUUUCACCAAUCAAGCCUGGCUUGGUAUUGGGCACCGGGGGCGACCCGGGCCUCAAAGUCGCCGGCUGGUAAGCUCUGAUCUCAGCGUCGUGAUCAAUCAAAUUCGCUUUGCAGAGGAGUGAGCCGUGCCGGUUAAGAAUUAUCUAAAGGUUGACCUCGGAUCGGGUAGGAAUACCCGCUGAACUUAA
RNAcentral lists this ribosomal RNA (554 nucleotides) under uncultured fungus. Its description in RNAcentral is "eukaryotic LSU rRNA". The stretch from base 214 to 367 matches the Rfam family "5.8S ribosomal RNA". The record is from RNAcentral. Lineage: Eukaryota; Fungi.